AGUGAACGCUGGCGGUAGGCCUAACACAUGCAAGUCGAACGGCAGCACAGUAAGAGCUUGCUCUUACGGGUGGCGAGUGGCGGACGGGUGGGGAAUACAUCGGAAUCUACUUUUUCGUGGGGGAUAACGUAGGGAAACUUACGCUAAUACCGCAUACGUCCUACGGGUGAAAGCAGGGGAUCUUCGGACCUUGCGCGAUUGAAUGAGCCGAGGUCGGAUUAGCUAGUUGGCGGGGUAAAGGCCCACCAAGGCGACGAUCCGUAGCUGGUCUGAGAGGAUGAUCAGCCACACUGGAACUGAGACACGGUCCAGACUCCUACGGGAGGCAGCAGUGGGGAAUAUUGGACAAUGGGCGCAAGCCUGAUCCGGCCAUACCGCGUGGGUGAAGAAGGCCUUCGGGUUGUAAAGCCGUUUUGUUGGGAAAGAAAAGCAGCAGGUGAAUACCCCGCUGUUCUGACGGUACCCAAAGAAUAAGCACCGGCUAACUUCGUG
This 492-nucleotide ribosomal RNA is filed under the name uncultured bacterium. RNAcentral's name for it is "partial 16S ribosomal RNA". It matches the Rfam family "Bacterial small subunit ribosomal RNA", at positions 29 to 507 of the family's 1533-position model. The record is from RNAcentral.